Molecule: long non-coding RNA, 275 nt
Filed under: Bos indicus x Bos taurus (hybrid cattle)
Lineage: Eukaryota; Metazoa; Chordata; Mammalia; Artiodactyla; Bovidae
Description: lncRNA (ENSBIXG00000019901.1)
Source: RNAcentral
GGGAGACCAUAUUGGUGCUUAUGUGGGCUCCAGGUACCAGAACACCAUGCAGUUAGAUGGAGCACCUAAAGAACGGUUCAAAGUUGCUUAAACACUUUGCUAAGAAGAGAGCAUUGUAAGAAGAAAUUAAAAAAUUGCAGCACCGGAAGCUCAAGUCAAUUCUAUUGGAAGCUGGUCUUUUUUUUUUCCAGAAGGUUCUGGAUGGAACAGACUGGACUCUUUCAAUAAGGGUUUUAAUAUGCAAUUUAAUUUACAAUAGAAUGUCCUAUAUGACU